RNAcentral lists this ribosomal RNA (256 nucleotides) under uncultured Lactobacillus sp. Its description in RNAcentral is "partial 16S ribosomal RNA". It matches the Rfam family "Bacterial small subunit ribosomal RNA", at positions 107 to 354 of the family's 1533-position model. The record is from RNAcentral. Lineage: Bacteria; Bacillati; Bacillota; Bacilli; Lactobacillales; Lactobacillaceae.
UGAGUAACGCGUGGGUAACCUGCCCUUAAGUCUGGGAUACCAUUUGGAAACAGAUGCUAAUACCGGAUAAAAGCUACUUUCGCAUGAAAGAAGUUUAAAAGGCGGCGUAAGCUGUCGCUAAAGGAUGGACCUGCGAUGCAUUAGCUAGUUGGUAAGGUAACGGCUUACCAAGGCGAUGAUGCAUAGCCGAGUUGAGAGACUGAUCGGCCACAUUGGGACUGAGACACGGCCCAAACUCCUACGGGAGGCAGUAGAC